This 685-nucleotide long non-coding RNA is filed under the name Rattus norvegicus (Norway rat). Its description in RNAcentral is "long non-coding RNA NONRATT032878". The record is from RNAcentral. Lineage: Eukaryota; Metazoa; Chordata; Mammalia; Rodentia; Muridae.
GCCAAAAGGAAGCAAAAGAUAAUAAAUGAUUAGGUAAUCAUUUGUCUAUUUAAGCAAAACUCGUGCAUGCUUUUUAUUAUGUACUAGGGCCUAAUAAAAAAUGAGUGCCAUGAAGAUGUCUAGACAAAUUAUGAAGGUCUUUGGAGUGUUUGAGAUCUUAUAUCGAAAUUCAUUUCUGCGAUUUUCUAGCUAGAUUAAGUGCUAGCUCCUCACAUUUUAAUUUUCUCACCUAGAAAAUAAGAGUAGUGGAGUUAAGGGACUUAGUGAGAUUUCACUUAAAACACAUUGAAGAAUUCUCUUGACAUAUAUCAAUUUUCAUACAUUAUUACGGUUUUGUGAUAAGGGUAUUGAUGGGAAUGCUGUAGUUGCUCUCACCUGCUAAAGUUGCUGUAGCCUGCUAAAGGUGGCUGAUGGAGACCUGCGUGAUGCGUAAACACCUCACAAGGGCUCCAAAUUCCAGAGGAUUCAAUGUAGUUAAAUGAAGUGUACCCAGAGGAAACGGAGCAUCUAAGUGUUUCUUGGGAGAGCAAAAGGCCUCUAGUGGUGAUAAGGUUCAGGAUGAAUUCCAUGCUACAAAACAAAGAGUUCUGGAUGGACCUGAAGUACCUGGGACUCUUGAGCAUCAGGCGCUGCCCUGUUAGAGCCGGUGGCUGCACAGAGACCUUUUUUGCUGUUUAAAGAGAAG